Molecule: ribosomal RNA, 270 nt
Filed under: uncultured archaeon
Lineage: Archaea
Description: partial 16S ribosomal RNA
Rfam family: Archaeal small subunit ribosomal RNA
Source: RNAcentral
CUGCAGCCCGAGUGGUGAUCGAUUUUAUUGAGCCUAAAGCGUCCGUAGCCGGACUAGUAAACCCUUGGGUAAAUUGGGCAGCUUAACUGUCCGAAUUCCGAGGGGACUGCUAGUCUUGGGACCGGGAGAGGUCAGAGGUACUCAAGGGGUAGGGGCUAAAUCCUGUAAUCCUUUGGGGACCACCAGUGGCGAAGGCGUCUGACUAGAACGGAUCCGACGGUAAGGGACGAAGCCCUGGGGCGCGAACCGGAUUAGAUACCCGAGUAGUCC